AAAUUCUAAUUUGCACGGUAAAGGUCAUAGGAGCUAUAGAAAUUGAGGACUGUUAGAACGGUAAGGUGAUAAGGGAAGGUCAUGCAUAGGAGAUGGGAGGAGGCAGUUUGGCAAUUAAUAUAUGUCUCCAUCAUGAGGGAGUCAACCCUGUGAUCCUGGGUCCUUGUUUAGGAUUAUUAAAUGCAUUAAAAUGCUAAUGCAAUCUACAUGAGGUAAGCUUGAAUGGAGUUUCAAGGAUGGGCAGGUUAUUAUUGGUGGAAAAUGAUCCCCUUGACAGGAACAAUCAAAGCUAGGGAUGGGGAUGUUUCAAGCAGUGGAGAUAAAAGUCCUUUGUAUAUGCAACAAAAGAAAAAAGGUUCAGAGGUAGCAGUAGUUUUAAGUAACUUUCUAAUUUUCUGUUGCAAAUAGCAAAUGCUACCUUUCUUGUAUGGAUUCUUUAAGAAAGGAAACAAGGCAGAGCAGUGUCAAAGUAUAACCCAAAGUCACAAAUACACUAAAUUAUAGCACAAUGUUUACUUAUUUACAAAGAGGAUAAAUUAGUAAAUGGAUUUCACCCCACAGAGGCAAAACAGGAUUUAUUAAAACGGGGGAAAAAAGGAGAGAAAAAUAAUUGUAGUCUGAGAAGAGUGCAUCUUGUUUGUACAUUUUUUUUUUAAUUUUUUAAAAAAAUCUUAUUUAUUCAUGAGAGAGACAGAGAGAGGCAGAGACACAGGCAGAGGGAGAAGCAGGCUCCAUGCAGGGAGCCUGAUGUGGGACUCGAUCCCAGAACUCCAGGACCACGCCCCGAGCCAAAGGCAGGUGCUCAACCAGGGGGCCACCCAGGCAUCCCUGUUUGUACAGUUUUUAUGGGUUAUCUGAUUAGCUGGUAGCAGUCACUCUGGACAGUCUGUCCUUGAGUAGGCAGACUAGGGGCACAAAAAUAUCUUGAAUGUUUCUGAACUGUCUGGUAAACCUUUGUGAGCUACCCCAUGAAGCUGCGGGACAGGCUGCUCCUCUGUGCCACCUGCCACUAUCUCUCUCAGCACCUCAUUCUUAGUUGCACAGGGUCUGCACUACCUCCCUCAAUACACCUGCUACUUUUCCGUAACUCUGUUUCCCCUACACCCUGACUUUUCACUGGAUCCUCUCCCGAGUCCUAAUUUAAAAGCGAUCAUGGGGAUCCCUGGGUGACGCAGCGGUUUGGCGCCUGCCUUUGGCUCAGGGCGCGAUCCUGGAGACCCGGGAUCGAAUCCCACGUCGGGCUCCCGGUGCAUGGAGCCUGCUUCUCCCUCUGCCUCAUUCUCUCUCUCUCUGUGACUAUCACAAAAAAAAAAAAAAAAAAAAAA
RNAcentral lists this long non-coding RNA (1325 nucleotides) under Canis lupus familiaris (dog). RNAcentral's name for it is "lncRNA (ENSCAFG00000057487.1)". Lineage: Eukaryota; Metazoa; Chordata; Mammalia; Carnivora; Canidae. The record is from RNAcentral.